This 782-nucleotide ribosomal RNA is filed under the name Bacteroides finegoldii CL09T03C10. Its description in RNAcentral is "bacterial SSU rRNA". It matches the Rfam family "Bacterial small subunit ribosomal RNA", at positions 724 to 1520 of the family's 1533-position model. Lineage: Bacteria; Pseudomonadati; Bacteroidota; Bacteroidia; Bacteroidales; Bacteroidaceae. The record is from RNAcentral.
GCUCACUGGACUGCAACUGACACUGAUGCUCGAAAGUGUGGGUAUCAAACAGGAUUAGAUACCCUGGUAGUCCACACAGUAAACGAUGAAUACUCGCUGUUUGCGAUACACGGUAAGCGGCCAAGCGAAAGCGUUAAGUAUUCCACCUGGGGAGUACGCCGGCAACGGUGAAACUCAAAGGAAUUGACGGGGGCCCGCACAAGCGGAGGAACAUGUGGUUUAAUUCGAUGAUACGCGAGGAACCUUACCCGGGCUUAAAUUGCAUUUGAAUAAUCAAGAAAUUGGUUAGCCGCAAGGCAAAUGUGAAGGUGCUGCAUGGUUGUCGUCAGCUCGUGCCGUGAGGUGUCGGCUUAAGUGCCAUAACGAGCGCAACCCUUAUCUUCAGUUACUAACAGGUUAUGCUGAGGACUCUGGAGAGACUGCCGUCGUAAGAUGUGAGGAAGGUGGGGAUGACGUCAAAUCAGCACGGCCCUUACGUCCGGGGCUACACACGUGUUACAAUGGGGGGUACAGAAGGCAGCUACACGGCGACGUGAUGCCAAUCCCGAAAACCUCUCUCAGUUCGGAUCGAAGUCUGCAACCCGACUUCGUGAAGCUGGAUUCGCUAGUAAUCGCGCAUCAGCCAUGGCGCGGUGAAUACGUUCCCGGGCCUUGUACACACCGCCCGUCAAGCCAUGAAAGCCGGGGGUACCUGAAGUACGUAACCGCGAGGAGCGUCCUAGGGUAAAACUGGUAAUUGGGGCUAAGUCGUAACAAGGUAGCCGUACCGGAAGGUGCGGCUG